UGAUCAUGGCUCAGGAUGAACGCUGGCGGCGUGCCUAAUACAUGCAAGUCGUACGAACAGCGGAAAGUGCUUGCACUUUCCAAGUAAGUGGCGAACGGGUGAGUAACACGUGAAUAACCUACCUCAAAGACUGGGAUAACCAUUGGAAACAGUGACUAAUACCGGAUAAAACCCAGUAGCACAUGCUACAAGGUUAAAAGCUGCGUUUGCAGCGCUUUAAGAUGGAUUCGCGGUGCAUUAGUUAGUUGGUGAGGUAAAGGCUCACCAAGACAAUGAUGCAUAGCCGAGUUGAGAGACUGACCGGCCACAUUGGGAC
This 316-nucleotide ribosomal RNA is filed under the name uncultured bacterium. Its description in RNAcentral is "bacterial SSU rRNA". It matches the Rfam family "Bacterial small subunit ribosomal RNA", at positions 14 to 319 of the family's 1533-position model. The record is from RNAcentral.